UUUAUCCCCGGCAGCAUGUGCGUAUACUCGAGCUAUCGGGAGCUCUACUAGAGAUCAUGAAUUACGCUAACCAUGGAGUGGCGGACUAUGGUUAUUUUAAUAUCGUGCCUCUGUUUCUUCGCGAUACCCAUCAGAGUGGGCCGCGACACAACGGAAGACGACAUCAAGUUGUUCGAGGGUUACAUCCGGCGUUACAAUAAAUCAUACAAGCACGACCCCUUGGAGUAUGACAAGAGACUCGAGAGAUUCCAGAGAUCUUUGCGGCACAUUGAGCGCAUGAAUUCUGAACGGAUUUCCAAGGACAGUGCCUUGUAUGGACCCACGGAAUUUUCCGACUUGUCCGAAGAGGAGUUUCUCCAGUUGACUUUGCAGCCGGACUUAUCGGCCAGAAGCGAGAGGCAUCACAAUCGUUAUCAUACGCGGGAAAAUACUCGACGGCUUGGCGCCGAUGUUAAAAGAUUAAAAAGGGCUGCCGGCAUUCCUUUGAAAUUCGACUGGCGGGAUAAAAAAGUGAUAACCCCGGUCAGGAACCAAGGAACAUGCGGAGCUUGUUGGGCGUUCAGCACCGUAGAAGUAGCUGAGUCGAUGUUCGCCAUAAAAAAUGGAUCCCUUCAGCAACUCAGCGUGCAAGAGAUGAUCGACUGCGCCAAGAACAGCAAUUUCGGCUGCGAGGGCGGAGACAUCUGCAGUCUCUUAACAUGGCUCAUGGGCUCGAAGAUCUCCAUUGUCCCUGAAUCUAACUAUCCUUUGACUUGGAAAACGGACGCCUGUAAGCUGGGAAAAACCGCAUCGAAGACCCCGGGGCUGCGAGUUUCGGAUUUCACCUGCGACAGUUUCGUCGAUUCGGAGGACGAGCUUUUGGCCACUCUUGCGGGACAUGGACCUGUGGCUGCGGCAGUAAACGCACUUACUUGGCAGAAUUAUUUGGGAGGAGUUAUCCACUUCCACUGUGACGGUUCUUUCUUAAACCUGAAUCACGCUGUACAGAUCGUGGGAUACGACACAACAGGGCCGAUACCGUUCUACAUAAUUAAGAAUUCCUGGGGCACCUUGUUCGGCGACAAAGGUUACCUGUACAUCGGAAUCGGGAGCAAUUUAUGCGGGAUCGCGAACCAGGUGUCUUCCCUGAACGUGAUUUAAGGAGAAGAACGGCAUCGCCAUCCCCACUGUAUACAUACAUUGACGUAUAGAACCUCGGUCGGUCGCCAAGAGAGUCUGCGCUUGGUGCGAAACUCAGCCGAGUUUCCUUAACCUCGAGCAGCUUCCUUCAAAUUCAGCACAGCGUUUGAUUAACAGAUUCCAAUGCUCUAUAUUUAUGACCGUGUCGAUUAACAAAUACAUACAUGCUUCGUAUUAAGAAGUGCUCGUAUAACAUACAUUGACGUAUAGAACCUCGGUCGGUCGCCAAGAGAGUCUGCGCUUGGUGCGAAACUCAGCCGAGUUUCCUUUACCUCAAUCAGCUUCCCUCAAAUCCAACACAGCGUUUCAAUAACAGAUUCCAAUGCUCUAUAUUUAUGACCGUGUCGAUUAACAAAUACAUACAUGCUUCGUAUUAAGAAGUGCUCGGAAGGAGCGAGACUUCCAGGAGUUAGUUGUAAUUAGUAAUAGUACAGUGAAUCGGAUAGUAUUUUUUUAUGCAGACGGUCCACGUGCGAGGAAAAUGGACCCCGUGCUCCGAAUGGUGGAAAGUAGACUAUAUAUUCAAAUAAAAAUUAAUAUGUGAAA
This 1725-nucleotide unclassified non-coding RNA is filed under the name Orussus abietinus. RNAcentral's name for it is "cathepsin O, transcript variant X3". The record is from RNAcentral. Lineage: Eukaryota; Metazoa; Arthropoda; Insecta; Hymenoptera; Orussidae.